Molecule: ribosomal RNA, 235 nt
Filed under: uncultured bacterium
Lineage: Bacteria
Description: partial 16S ribosomal RNA
Rfam family: Bacterial small subunit ribosomal RNA
Source: RNAcentral
UGGCGGACGGGUGAGUAAUGUCUGGGAAACUGCCCGAUGGAGGGGGAUAACUACUGGAAACGGUAGCUAAUACCGCAUAACGUCGCAAGACCAAAGAGGGGGACCUCCGGGCCUCGCGCCAUCAGAUGAACCCAUAUGGGAUUAGCUAGUAGGUAAGGUAACGGCUUACCUAGGCGACGAUCCCUAGCUGGUCCGAGAGGAUGAUCAGCCACACUGGGACUGAGACACGGCCCAG